This 489-nucleotide ribosomal RNA is filed under the name uncultured bacterium. RNAcentral describes it as "bacterial SSU rRNA". It matches the Rfam family "Bacterial small subunit ribosomal RNA", at positions 501 to 989 of the family's 1533-position model. The record is from RNAcentral.
CUACGUGCCAGCAGCCGCGGUAAUACGUAGGGUGCGAGCGUUAAUCGGAAUUACUGGGCGUAAAGCGAGCGCAGACGGUUACUUAAGCAGGAUGUGAAAUCCCCGGGCUCAACCUGGGAACUGCGUUCUGAACUGGGUGACUAGAGUGUGUCAGAGGGAGGUAGAAUUCCACGUGUAGCAGUGAAAUGCGUAGAGAUGUGGAGGAAUACCGAUGGCGAAGGCAGCCUCCUGGGAUAACACUGACGUUCAUGCUCGAAAGCGUGGGUAGCAAACAGGAUUAGAUACCCUGGUAGUCCACGCCGUAAACGAUGUCGAUUUGGAGGUUGUGCCCUUGAGGCGUGGCUUCCGGAGCUAACGCGUUAAAUCGACCGCCUGGGGAGUACGGCCGCAAGGUUAAAACUCAAAUGAAUUGACGGGGGCCCGCACAAGCGGUGGAGCAUGUGGUUUAAUUCGAUGCAACGCGAAGAACCUUACCUGGUCUUGACAUCC